UAAGAGGUCCCGCCUGCCCAGUGACACUAUGUUCAACGGCCGCGGUAUUUUAACCGUGCAAAGGUAGCGCAAUCACUUGUCUUUUAAAUGAAGACCUGUAUGAAUGGUAGAACGAGGGCUUAACUGUCUCCUUUCCCAAGUCAAUGAAAUUGAUCUUCCCGUGCAGAAGCGGAAAUACAAACAUAAGACGAGAAGACCCUAUGGAGCUUUAGACAUAAAGACAGAACAUGUAAAAACCACUUAGCAACAAGACAAAACUUAUUGUAACUCUGUUCUAUGUCUUUGGUUGGGGCGACCACGGAGAAUUAAACAACCUCCACGUGGAAAGAAAGCAUUAAAUAUUUAGCAUUCAGACCCAAGAGCUACAGCUCUAAGUAACAGAAUCUCUGACCUUCAAGAUCCGGCAAAACCGAUUAACGAACCAAGUUACCCUAGGGAUAACAGCGCAAUCCUCUUUUAGAGCCCAUAUCGACAAGAGGGUUUACGACCUCGAUGUUGGAUCAGGACAUCCUAAUGGUGCARCCGCUAUUAAGGGUUCGUUUGUUCAACG
RNAcentral lists this ribosomal RNA (550 nucleotides) under Tlaloc labialis (largelip killifish). RNAcentral's name for it is "Profundulus labialis (largelip killifish) partial 16S large subunit ribosomal RNA". It matches the Rfam family "Bacterial large subunit ribosomal RNA", at positions 1846 to 2586 of the family's 2925-position model. Lineage: Eukaryota; Metazoa; Chordata; Actinopteri; Cyprinodontiformes; Profundulidae. The record is from RNAcentral.